AUAAAUAAAUAAAAACCAACGGAGAAAGAAGAACAACCUAGGUCUAACCGGCGGCGGAGAGAAGAGAGAGAGAAACGGUAGAAUUAGAGCCACCACGGCACGACGUUGAGUUCUUUAUCUGGCUGUUGUCUCACCGUCCUCGUCCUACUUGCCCUCGUGGUCCCACCACUAUCACAACCUCUCGCCCCUGGUAAUUGAUUGGUGGAAUUCUGUCCAAAGAUAAGAUAUUUAGGGCAAGUAAAACCAGAACUAUGCUUGAAGGUCUAGCAAGAGAAGGAUCAUUCAGACGGUUUCUCAACAAACAAAGUUCUUUCAGUGAAAAAUUGGAUACCAGUGCUUUCUCCAGUUGUAAAUAUUCUUAUUCGCAGAUGCUUAAAUUAAGCUUGUACUUUGUACUUCUUACAUGUUUACUUUAACAAUAGAUGUAUCUUGUAGAGUUUAGUUCUAUUGUUAUUUGAAA
Molecule: long non-coding RNA, 460 nt
Organism: Quercus lobata
Lineage: Eukaryota; Viridiplantae; Streptophyta; Magnoliopsida; Fagales; Fagaceae
Exons: 2
Source: RefSeq, a predicted model, not a curated record